CGUUUCUAUCGCUAUAUCUUAAUAGAGUACAUUCCUACUGCGUGUAAACGUAGCACAACCACAAAUAAUAGAUUGAUCAAUUAACCAAUAGGCGACGAGCGCGAUCGACCAAUAGGAGGAAGUGUACACGGAAUAUUUGGAUGGGCUUUAUCACCUUGUGUCGCUUUUGUCCAAGGUGUUAAUUCGCAGCCACGGAAUGUACGCGAUGAUAAUCCGUGUACAUAUGGUCACGGAAUAUUUGGAUGUACAUUACUCGGUUGGGCUUUAUCAUGGUCGUGCAUUACAGUUUCCCAAGAAAUGAAUCCAAAUUGUCGUCCGUUAAUUACCAAUGCAAUAAAAAAAAGUAAUAAUAAAUAAAAAGGGAAAUAGAAGUUUUCCCGUCUAUGACUUGAUGACGGGGCUAACGUUUGCCCGAUUCGAAGUCGAUCGAAUCUCGAAUAGUUGGAUUUUUGGUUGGAUUGUUAGACAUUGGUUGGACACAAGGAUUCUUGGUCUUUGGUUGGACAAGAAUACAUUUGACAAGAAUUUGACAUAAGAAAUGAAUGAAUGAGUGCAACACUACUCUGUCUGUCCGUUGUGCGAGCGAAUGUACGUUACGAAAGUGAAUUUUUAGAAAUAAAUUCAGGAAACAGUGGUUAAAUAUCCGCAAUUUUACAUUAAUAGGCGAAAAUGGAAGUGACCGACGAAAAUCUGGCUACGUUGGCGAAUUACUUACAGCAAACCUUGAAUCCAGAUCCUAACAUUAGGCGGCCCGCAGAGAAAUUUCUGGAAAGUGUGGAAAUAAAUCAGAACUAUGCCAUUCUGCUGCUUCACCUCAUAGACAAGGAUGCAGUAGACAUGAACAUCCGUGUAGCAGCAGCUAUUGCCUUCAAAAACUAUAUCAAAAGAAACUGGCCUGUGGAAGAAGACAGUGCAGACCGGAUCCAUGCUUCAGACCGUGCCACAAUCAAGACUCUCAUAGUGAACAUGAUGUUGAAGUCUCCGGAGGCUAUCCAGAGACAGUUCAGUGACGCUGUGUCUAUCAUCGGAAAGAGUGACUUCCCGGAGAAGUGGCCCAGUCUCAUUCCAGAGAUGGUGGAGAAGUUUGCUACAGGCGACUUCCACGUGAUCAACGGUGUCCUCCGCACGGCGCACUCCCUGUUCAAACGCUACAGAUACGAGUUCAAGUCACAGAAACUGUGGGAAGAGAUCAAACAUGUGCUAGACAAUUUCGCCAAACCGCUCACAGACUUGUUUGUUGCCACAUUGGACCUAAGGAACACCCACGCAGACAACCCGCAGGCGUUGAAAGUGAUCUACAGUUCGCUGGUGCUCAUCUGCAAAGUGUUCUACUCACUCAACUGUCAAGAUCUACCGGAGUACUUUGAAGACAACAUGCCUAUUUGGAUGCCCAAUCUCCUCAACCUACUGCAAGCUAAAGUGCCUUGCUUGGAGACCGAGGACGAUGAGGACAAGCCGGGCGUAAUGGAGCAGCUGCGCACGGAGGUGUGCGAGUGCGCGGCGCUGUACGCGCUCAAGUAUGAGGAGGAGUUCGCGCCGCACGCGCCCGCCUUCGUCACCGCCGUGUGGACCGUGCUGCUCUCCACCGGCCCGCACACCAAGUACGACGCGCUGGUUGCGAAUGCGCUGACGUUCCUCGCGAAGGUAGCAGAGAAGAACAGCUACAAAAGCUUGUUUGAGGACCCCAACACCCUCAGCAGUAUCUGUGAGAAGGUCGUCAUACCCAACAUGGAAUUCCGAGAGUCGGACAUGGAGUUGUUCGAAGACAACCCAGAAGAGUACGUGCGGCGCGACAUCGAGGGCUCCGACGUGGACACGCGGCGCCGCGCCGCCUGCGACCUCGUCAAGACCCUCGCUCAGCACUACGAGGAUAAGAUGAUGACCAUCUUCGGGCAGUACGUGCAGCUGAUGCUGAGCAAGUACGGUGAGGCGGGCGGCGCGGCGUGGCGCGGCAAGGACACGGCGCUGUACCUGGUGACGUCGCUGGCGGCGCGCGGCAGCACGGCGGCCGCGGGCGUCACGCGCGCCUCGCCGCUGGUGGACCUGGCGCAGUUCGCCGCCACGCACGUGCUGCCCGAGCUGCAGCGGCCCGGCGUGACGGAACUCCCCGUGCUAAAGGCGGACGCCAUCAAAUACCUGAUGACAUUCCGUUCGCUGCUGCCCAAAGAGUUGCUCGUUAACGCCUUCCCGCUUGUGAUCCAGCACAUCAGCGGGCGCGGCGUGGUGUGCACGUACGCGGCGUGCGCCGUGGAGAAGCUGGUGGCGGGCGGCAUGGUGCCGCGGCCGCAGCUGGCGCCGCACGCCGCGCCGCUGCUGGGGGCGCUCUUCGCCGCGCUCGACGACCACAACGAGUACAUCAUGAAAGCGAUCCUCCGCACGCUGGCGUGCCUGCAGGAGGCGGGGCUGUCCUUCCUGGGCGAGGCGCUGCCCAAGCUGGCGCAGAUGCUGGCCGUCGUAGCCAAGAACCCCUGCAAGCCGCACUUCAACCACUACCUCUUCGAAACUCUUUCCUUGGCUGUCUCUUUGGUGACAAAGUCCAACCCGAACGCUAUCACGGCAUUUGAAGACGCGCUUUUCCCAAUAUUCCAAGAAAUCCUGCAGAAUGAUGUCCAAGAAUUCAUGCCGUACGUGUUCCAAAUGCUGUCGCUGCUGCUGGAGCUGCGCGGGGCGGGGGCGGCGGCGGGGGCGGGCGGCGCGGCGGGCGGGGACUCGGACGCGUACGGCGCGCUGCUGCCGUGCCUGGUGGCGCCGCCGCUGUGGGAGCGGCCCGCCAACGUGCGCCCGCUCGUGCGCCUGCUGUGCGCCUUCGUCGCCGCACGGACCGACCUCAUCCUCAGGACUAACAAGCUGAACGCAAUGCUGGGCGUGUUCCAGAAACUGAUCGCGUCCAAGACGAACGACCACGAGGGCUUCUACCUCAUACAGACCAUGCUGUUCAAGUUCGGAGAACAAGUGAUGCAGCCAUACACGAAACAGGUUAUGACCCUCCUGUUCCAGCGGCUCUCGUCCUCCAAGACCACCAAGUACGUGCGCGGCCUUAUUGCCUUCCUGGGGUUCUACGCCGCGCACUUCGGAGCCGAUCCCCUGAUAGACCUUGUGGACUCCGUACAGGCCAAUAUGUUCGCGAUGUACGUAGAGCGCGUGCUGAUCCCGGACCUGCAGAAGGUGAGCGGCGCGCUGGAGCGCAAGGCGGCCGCCGUGGGCUGCGUCAAGCUGCUCACUGACUCCGCGCACUUCCGGCAGGGGGCGCUGGCGCAGCUGUGGCCCAAACUGUUGCAGGCGCUGAUCGCGCUGUUCGAGCUGCCGACCGACGAGUCCUCGCUGCCGGACGAUCACUUCAUAGAAGUGGACGACACGCCCGGCUACCAGGCGCAGUACAGCCACCUCACCUGCGCCAAGGGGGUCAGCAACGACCCGCUAGCCAGUAUCGAGGAUCCAAAGCGUUAUCUAGCGGAAAGCCUCGGCAACGUGUCGCGAUCGAACCCUGGACUCCUUCCUCCGAGGGUGGCAGCAUUGGACGAACAGCAUCGCAACGUUCUUCAGGUGUACCUAAACGCGUACUCAGUGCAGAUCUGUUGAAAUUACAUGGGGUUUUAGUGUGGGCCGAUAGAUGGCGGUAGUGAGACGUGAGGUCCGGUGGAAACUAGAAGCAUUGUAGUUUGUACUAGAGACGAUAAUGACAAAAAUAAAAUCCCGUUACAUGAGUAUUGUACAUCGUAAGAACAUGCGUUAGUGAAGGAUUAUUCUUUUUAUAGCACUCAAUAGUGCUUAAUUGUUAAACAAAGUCGAUAAGUUUGACUCGGACGCGAUUUAAACCAACAGCUCUACUCAAGUCAGGAUGAAGAUGGUGGUUAACACGCUCGUCCCAGCUUGACAAUAGCUGCGCUUUCAAAUCCAGUCCUAGUCAAAGUUUUUCAUAUUGAUUUUCUCUAUUCAUUAAGUCAAAAUUACAGUACGGCCGCCGUAACGUAAGAAGUCCGAUUUGACUCAGGAAGCCAGCACGGAAAAUUACACCUCAAUGGCAUUCAUACUAGAACUAUGCUUUUUGAUUCGCCGCAGUCGGGUUAAAACGGACUUCUUACGGCGGUCGUACUAUAGGGAAAAACCUUGUGAUCUACCAUCAUGUGAUUUACCAUCAUAUUGGCCCCGAUUCCUGCAGACACAUCCUAAAUUCCUAAUUUUAUUUUAAGUCAUACCCGUCAAUUUCGUAUCCGCCGGAAAGGAAAAGGAUAAAAUUUAUGGAACGCACGUCAAUUUUAGGCCGAAAUUUUAAAAAGCCUUUCAGAAAUUUUAUAUUCGUCAAUAACCCGACAGAAUUAAGUUAACAGCACACGUAAAACGGAUUGCAUAUGAGCGAGAUGCCUUUUAUUCGCCCAGGUUAUUCAUAUUUUUCUUUUUCGGCGGAUAAGAAAAUAACCGAUAUAACUUAAAAUAAAAUUAGGAUGUGUCUGCAGGAAUCGGG
RNAcentral lists this unclassified non-coding RNA (4462 nucleotides) under Pectinophora gossypiella (pink bollworm). RNAcentral describes it as "exportin-2". Lineage: Eukaryota; Metazoa; Arthropoda; Insecta; Lepidoptera; Gelechiidae. The record is from RNAcentral.